RNAcentral lists this unclassified non-coding RNA (390 nucleotides) under soil metagenome. RNAcentral's name for it is "partial contains 5.8S ribosomal RNA, internal transcribed spacer 2, and large subunit ribosomal RNA". The stretch from base 1 to 122 matches the Rfam family "5.8S ribosomal RNA", at positions 35 to 154 of the family's 154-position model. The record is from RNAcentral.
GAUGAAGAACGCAGCGAAAUGCGAUACUUGGUGUGAAUUGCAGAAUCCCGUGAACCAUCGAGUCUUUGAACGCAAGUUGCGCCCGAAGCCAUUAGGCCGAGGGCACGCCUGCCUGGGUGUCACACGUCGUUGCCCCCCCAUCUACUCCUUCGGGAUUGCGGGGGGCGGAUGAUGGCCUCCCGUGCGCCUCGUCGCGCGGUUGGCAUAAAUGCCAAGUCCUCGGCGACGCACGCCACGACAAUCGGUGGUUGCGAAACCUCGGUUGCCCGUCGUGUGCGGUCGUCGCGCAUCGAGGGCUCGAAAAAAUUGCCGGGCUCCGGCUCGGCUUUCAACGCGACCCCAGGUCAGGCGGGGUUACCCGCUGAAUUUAAGCAUAUCAAUAACGGAGGA